Long non-coding RNA from Erinaceus europaeus (western European hedgehog), 3084 nucleotides. RefSeq lists it as uncharacterized. The record is from RefSeq and is a predicted model, not a curated record. NCBI's taxonomy places the organism in Eukaryota, Metazoa, Chordata, Mammalia, Eulipotyphla, Erinaceidae. The transcript is spliced from 2 exons.
CCCGGGGGUGGGGGGCAGGGGAAUGGCUGGGUGCCUGGUGCUGGGGGCAGGGGGAGACUGGGUGACAUAUGGGCUUACCUACCCCUGACACCCUUGGACCCCUUAGAGUGGAGGUGUGGCCGUCCCACCUUGUAGAGAAGGGAACCGCGGCUCCACUGGCCUUGGUGGCAACAAGAAGGGACAAACAAGUCUCCAGGCUCCGGCUCACCUCUACUGCGGCCUCCAACACGGGGCUCAGAGGGGAGAGGGUGUGGGGGGUGCUGUCCUGCGUUUCUCUCUGAGCCGUCCUACCCCUGGCCUGUGAGUGCCCAGCCCCGGCCCCUCAGGCUUGAGGUGAGCUGGGCGUCCUGGGGGGCAGGGGGUGGUCUCACCACAGUCGCUGUCUCUCCUGAGACCGGACUGCAGUCUGCGUCUGUCCCCCUCUGCCUGCGCUUAGCAUCUGGUUUGCUUGCUUCCUGGGGAGCGUCUCUGCCCCGUAGCAUGUGCCUACCCGCCCCCGCCUCUCCGUGGCCUGAGCUGAGCCGCGUGGGCCAGUCCUAUGCACCCCGCACGCCUCGCCUUGCACCCACCCUCUCAAGCUCCGCUAAGUGCCGCGUGGCUGGUUUUCAGAAGGCCACGCCGUCUGCCAGUGACUGUCCCUCCUCCUCGGCUGUGCUGGGUCAUCGCCGUGGAGCACACGGUGUGUGUGUGGGGGGUCCUGAUUUAGUGACCAGGUGCUGCUCCGGGCAGGGCAGAGAGCGACAGCUGUUCCCUCUUGCAGGGUUGGGUUUGCUUGUUUUAUUUAUUUAUUUAAUUUUAUUUUUUAAGAAAGUAAGAUACAUCUUUCUUUUAAAUAUUUAUUUACUUAUUUUCCCUUUUGUUGCCCUUGUUUUUUAUUGUUGUUGUAGUAGUUGUUGUUGUUGAUGUCAUCGUUGUUAGAUAGGACAGAGAGAAAUGGAGAGAGGAGGGGAAGAGAAAGACAGACACCUGCAGACCUGCUUCACCGCCUGUGAAGCGACUCCCCUGCAGGUGGGGAGCCGGGGGCUCGAUCCGGGAUCCUGACGCCGGUCCUUGAGCUUAGCGCCACCGGUGCUUAACCCGCUGCGCUACCGCCUGACUCCCUGCUUGUUUUAUUUUUGUUCCUUUCAAGGUCUGGUUUUGUUAAAGUUGUCUUCGAGACACUGUUCUGGUCACUUCCUCAGAAUAACAGUCGAGUCACUGAACGCCCCUCCAGCCUGUCAUUUCAGACGGCUGAACUAGGAUAUGCCCCUCACUCGCCGUGAACGGGCACUGUGCUGACAUGGGCAUCCCCUCACUUGGUCCAGGCCACACUCCUCUCCCCUGCACGGAGGGCACAAUGGGUCAUUUCACAGAGGGCGAAACCGGGCUGAGGUCUGAAGGCUGCUUUUAUUUAUUUUCUGGAAGGUUCUGUGAGCCCUUCCAGAGGGCCGGCUGACCCAGCGCCAACACCCUUGUCCUGGCCGGUCUCUGAGACACCCCCUGUCCUUCAGGAGGGCAGAGAUGCAGCUACUCUGAGGCCCUGGGGGGGUCUGCAGCCUUGUCCUCUCCUCAGCUCAGCACCCCAAGCCCAGGGGAGCCCACCCCUCAGAACCCUUCCCAGCUGCUGCCCCUGCGGGAGACCGCGAGCCAGUGGAGUUUGUUCUGUUUUGUUCUUGUAAUCCCAGGACCCUCACUCACUCGCUGUGACCCUGGGCCCUACCCCCCCCCCCCCCAGUUAACUCUCUCUCUCACUUUGGGAAGGACUGAGCACGGGCCUUCGCACAGCCAAUACCAAAGCUGCCUUUGAAUCAGUAAGGUUAAUUGUCCUCCGUCCUUGGCAUUUGAAAUACUUCUCGCCCACCUGACAUUUCUGUCUCAAGCUUCCAAAGGGCUCAGAUCAAAGACUGCUGACAACCAGGCAAAUGGGGAAAGACCGAACAUGCCACUUUUGUUUCGUUUUGUUUUCUCCCAUGAUAACAGGCCUAGUCUUUCCAACCCAGUGAGGUGUCUCCAUCAGCUGACCGCGUCUGGUCCCGGUAAGGCCGAGGCGGGUAAGUGAGCAGGCCUGGCUCUGAGACCAACUUGUUGGCUUUGCCGACCCAGCUCUGGGGUCACCGCGAUAAGGAACGACCCUGCCCUGUUAGCCGCCAAGUCUGGAGUCAGCUUCAGGGGCCGUCCAGAGUCUUGUCUCCUUUGCAGAGAUGCCAUGUCCCCCCUUAUUUAGUGACCCUGCGAGACCAUCAGCUGCCUCUUUUUUGUUUUUUCCAAAUGAGAUGAACACUUUCACAGAAAAUUCAGAAAACAGCCCGAGAGAAAAACGAAUCCCAUGAGUACAGCUGUGCCUCGGUGCCUUGCAGGCCUGAGGGUCCCAAAGAUUCCCGUCCUUGUGGUCCUCAGCACGGCCCCUCACCCGCCUCACCCGCCUCACCCGCCAGCUCCCACCUUGCCGGCACAAGCCGAAAAGCUCGGACCGGCAAGUCCCUGUGUGUGUCCAUAUCUGAGCCGAGCACCCAGAGAGCGGGAGGUGGACAAGCCCACAGGCUGUACAGAGAAGCGGCCGACUGUGAGAUGAAAAGGGUCCUAGAGUGGCCUUGGCAGACGGCUGCAGGGGAGCCGUCCGUUGCCUGGCGCUGGCCACCCACCAGGGCCGCGGGUGGGGCAGCUCCCAGGGCUCGUCCCGCCCCGGGGCCCCACCGGGCACCGGCCUCAGAGGGUCUCCACUCGAACGCGCCCCCCCGGACCCCGUCACAGACAUCUUCACCCCUCGCCAGGAGCAGCCGCUCUCGUGGAGGGAUGGCAGUCCACGUGCCCACCGAAGCCGCUUCUGCCCAUCCCGUCCGCCCUGCCCCUGCAUGAGCAAGUGCCACCCCGUCCCCAGCAUCCCGCAUCCCGGGCAGAGCUGCCACGCCCCGCGGAGGCUCAGCACCCCUCUGCUGGGGGAGCUGGGGGAGCGCGGGCCCCUGUCCGUCUCCCUGCCCUUUGGCGGGGUCACCCGCAGGCGGAGGAGCGAUGGGAAUGCCGGUCAAACGGUGUAAAAAACUGUAAAUACAGGAAAAUUUCAUUUUUCUAAUAAAGAUAAUUUCUGCCAAUUGAUAUGAAAAGCGA